UACGGAGGGGGCGAGCGUUAUUCGGAAUUAUUGGGCGUAAAGGGCGCGUAGGCGGCGCGAUAAGUCAAAGGUGAAAUCCCUCGGCUCAACUGAGGAACUGCCUUUGAAACUGUCGAGCUCGAGGCCGGGAGGGGGUAGCGGAAUUCCCAGUGUAGCGGUGAAAUGCGUAGAUAUUGGGAGGAACACCAGUGGCGAAGGCGGCUACCUGGACCGGUUCUGACGCUGAUGCGCGAAAGCGUGGGUAGCAAACAGG
RNAcentral lists this ribosomal RNA (253 nucleotides) under uncultured bacterium. RNAcentral describes it as "partial 16S ribosomal RNA". It matches the Rfam family "Bacterial small subunit ribosomal RNA", at positions 524 to 776 of the family's 1533-position model. The record is from RNAcentral.